GAUGAACGCUAGCGGCAGGCCUAAUACAUGCAAGUCGAGGGGUAUGGGUUGCUUGCAACCCAGAGACCGGCGCACGGGUGCGUAACGCGUAUGCAAUCUACCUUAAUCAGGGGGAUAGCCCGGAGAAAUCCGGAUUAACACCGCAUAACAUUGAGUUGUGGCAUCACAGUUCAAUCAAAUAUUUAUAGGAUUAAGAUGAGCAUGCGUGACAUUAGUUAGUUGGUGAGGUAACGGCUCACCAAGACCACGAUGUCUAGGGGAUCUGAGAGGAUGACCCCCCACACUGGUACUGAGACACGGACCAGACUCCUACGGGAGGCAGCAGUAAGGAAUAUUGGUCAAUGGGCGCAAGCCUGAACCAGCCAUGCCGCGUGCAGGAAGACGGCCCUAUGGGUUGUAAACUGCUUGUGUACCGGAAUAAACCUUCUCUUGCGAGAGAAGCUGAACGUACGGUAAGAAUAAGGAUCGGCUAACUCCGUG
This 480-nucleotide ribosomal RNA is filed under the name uncultured bacterium. RNAcentral describes it as "partial 16S ribosomal RNA". It matches the Rfam family "Bacterial small subunit ribosomal RNA", at positions 28 to 507 of the family's 1533-position model. The record is from RNAcentral.